GAUGAACGCUGGCGGCGUGCCUAACACAUGCAAGUCGAGCGAUUCUCUUCGGAGAAGAGCGGCGGACGGGUGAGUAACGCGUGGGUAACCUGCCCUGUACACACGGAUAACAUACCGAAAGGUAUGCUAAUACGGGAUAACAUAAGAAAUUCGAAUGUUUUUCUUAUCAAAGCUCCGGCGGUACAGGAUGGACCAGCGUCUGAUUAGCUAGUUGGUGAGGUAAUGGCUCACCAAGGCGACGAUCAGUAGCCGACCUGAGAGGGUGAUCGGCCACAUUGGAACUGAGACACGGUCCAAACUCCUACGGGAGGCAGCAGUGGGGAAUAUUGCACAAUGGGCGAAAGCCUGAUGCAGCAACGCCGCGUGAGCGAUGAAGGCCUUCGGGUCGUAAAGCUCUGUCCUCAAGGAAGAUAAUGACGGUACUUGAGGAGGAAGCCCCGGCUAACUACGUGCCAGCCGCCGCCGUAA
RNAcentral lists this ribosomal RNA (468 nucleotides) under uncultured bacterium. RNAcentral's name for it is "partial 16S ribosomal RNA". It matches the Rfam family "Bacterial small subunit ribosomal RNA", at positions 28 to 523 of the family's 1533-position model. The record is from RNAcentral.